GUCGAUCCACCCACCUCUAGCUAAAAGCUUUUGUAACAGCGAUGGCGCCGAAAGCAGGUCGUCGAGGGAGGAAGCGCAAAGCGGAGGCAGAGGAGCAGCAAACACCAGCAGGGAAGAAGAAGGAGCGAGGAGAGGAGGAAGGCAAAAGAGUGGUCAUUGAACACUGUAAAAGCUGACGAGUGUAUAGGCAUAAUGCUGAGGAGGUGAAAUCUGCCCUCCUGGCUGCCUGUCCUGCACUGCCUGUGAUCCUCAACCCUGAGAAACCCCGCAAGAAGAGCUUCGAGAUCACUCUUAUGGAUGGAGACAAAGAAACAUGCCUGUGGACUGGAAUAAAGAAGGGUCCGCCUGCUAGGCUGAAGUUUCCUCAGCCUGAUGUAGUAGUUGCUGCUCUACAGGAGGCUCUGAAAGUUGAGCGGAUGCCAAAGUUUGCCAAAGCUGUUGCACAGAAAACAUCAGCUACAGAUUAAGUAAGAGAUCCCAGCGUUCAGGAGAUGUGACCAGUGGAAGCACAAAAUGAUGAGGAGUGACCAAGGAGAUGUUCUCAGUCCCUCCUCUGAUGAGUCAAGUGCCAACUGUUGUCAUCUUCUGGACACAUGAGGUCAUCUGGUGGAGCAUAAUGAUGCUAAUGAUGUUUUUAUAUGUGUUUUGGUAAAUUAGAGAUUUUCUUUGUUACUUUUUAGAUUUUUUACUUACUCUAGCCAAACACUUAAUUGUUUUGUGCAAGUUAAUUUUGCUGUGUUCAACUGGAUGACUUGAUACAACAAUAAAUCAUGUUUUUUUUUCUGUCCAUCCACUUUCUUUAUUAUGGUCACAGGGGGUCUGAAGCCCAUCCCAGUUGUCCUUGGUAGAGGCAGGGUACACCCUUCACAGAUCGCCAAUCUAUUGCAGGGCUAAAAUGGAGAUACAAUCAACCAUUCAUAUUCACAUUUACGCCUACAGCCAAUUUAGAAUCGCCAGUUAGUCUAAUUAACUUAACCCAAUGAAUGUUUUUGGACUUUGGGAGGCUGGAGACUGCUCAAUUCAAACACUGGACAUUCUUUCUGCAAAGCAACAAUGGUAACCAUUACUGUGUUGCACUUUUGACCUUUUCCUAAAUGUAAAUCAGCAGGACCAAGAUAAACACAAAAAAUAUGUUUAAUUUACUCAGGCAGGAACACACAUAACCCUUUAAAUCAGGUAACACACGUUCACUGCUUUAACUUUAUAUGCUUAAGUGUGUUGUCACCAUACAAACACCAUGUAUUCCUGUUCAUGUAUAGGUACAUACAAAGAUAAUGAAAGCACACUUAUGCUAAUGCUGU
Long non-coding RNA from Haplochromis burtoni (Burton's mouthbrooder), 1301 nucleotides. RefSeq lists it as uncharacterized. The transcript has 5 exons. NCBI's taxonomy places the organism in Eukaryota, Metazoa, Chordata, Actinopteri, Cichliformes, Cichlidae. The record is from RefSeq and is a predicted model, not a curated record.